AACGAACGCUGGCGGCAGGCUUAACACAUGCAAGUCGAACGGUUGUCGCAAGACAGCAGUGGCAGACGGGUGAGUAACACGUGGGAACCUUCCUCGGGGUACGGAACAACGCAGGGAAACUUGCGCUAAUACCGUAUACGUCCGUGAGGAGAAAGAUUUAUCGCCCUGAGACGGGCCCGCGUCGGAUUAGGUAGUUGGUGGGGUAACGGCCUACCAAGCCUACGAUCCGUAGCUGAUCUUAGAGGAUGAUCAGCCACACUGGGACUGAGACACGGCCCAGACUCCUACGGGAGGCAGCAGUGGGGAAUCUUGGACAAUGGGCGCAAGCCUGAUCCAGCCAUGCCGCGUGAGUGAAGAAGGCCUU
This 364-nucleotide ribosomal RNA is filed under the name uncultured bacterium. Its description in RNAcentral is "bacterial SSU rRNA". It matches the Rfam family "Bacterial small subunit ribosomal RNA", at positions 29 to 418 of the family's 1533-position model. The record is from RNAcentral.